GAUGAACGCUGGCGGCGUGCCUAAUACAUGCAAGUCGAGCGGUAAGGCCUCUUCGGAGGUACACGAGCGGCGGACGGCUGAGUAACGCGUAGGAACAUACCCCAAAGUGAGGGAUAACUGCCCGAAAGAGUAGCUAAUACCGCAUGUGAUCUAAGGAUUAAAGCUUCGGCGCUUUGGGAAUGGCCUGCGUAUGAUUAGUUUGUUGGUGAGGUAAUGGCUCACCAAGACUACGAUCAUUAGCUGGUCUGAGAGGAUGAUCAGCCAGACUGGGACUGAGACACGGCCCAGACUCCUACGGGAGGCAGCAGUAGGGAACCUUCCACAAUGGGCGAAAGCCUGAUGGAGCAACGCCGCGUGCAGGAUGAAGGCCUUCGGGUUGUAAACUGCUUUUAUAUGCGAAGAUUAUGACGGUAGCAUAUGAAUAAGGAUCGGCUAACUCCGUGCCAGCCGCCGCGGUAA
This 459-nucleotide ribosomal RNA is filed under the name uncultured bacterium. RNAcentral describes it as "partial 16S ribosomal RNA". It matches the Rfam family "Bacterial small subunit ribosomal RNA", at positions 28 to 523 of the family's 1533-position model. The record is from RNAcentral.